Molecule: ribosomal RNA, 402 nt
Filed under: Verrucomicrobiota bacterium
Lineage: Bacteria; Pseudomonadati; Verrucomicrobiota
Description: Verrucomicrobia bacterium partial 16S ribosomal RNA
Rfam family: Bacterial small subunit ribosomal RNA
Source: RNAcentral
UGGGGAAUUUUGCACAAUGGGGGAAACCCUGAUGCAGCGACGCCGCGUGAUUUAGAAGGCCUUCGGGUUGUAAAAAUCUUUUGUAUGGGAAGAAAAUGACAGUACCAUACGAAUAAGGACCGGCUAAUUACGUGCCAGCAGCCGCGGUAAUACGUAAGGUCCGAGCGUUGUCCGGAAUCAUUGGGCGUAAAGGGUACGUAGGCGGAUAAGCAAGUUAGAAGUGAAAUCCUAUAGCUCAACUAUAGUAAGCUUUUAAAACUGCUCAUCUUGAGGUAUGGAAGGGAAAGUGGAAUUCCUAGUGUAGCGGUGAAAUGCGCAGAUAUUAGGAGGAAUACCGGUGGCGAAGGCGACUUUCUGGCCAUAUACUGACGCUGAGGUACGAAAGCGUGGGUAGUAAACAGG